RNAcentral lists this transfer RNA (72 nucleotides) under Danio rerio (zebrafish). It matches the Rfam family "tRNA". Rfam says of the family: Transfer RNA (tRNA) molecules are approximately 80 nucleotides in length. Their secondary structure includes four short double-helical elements and three loops (D, anti-codon, and T loops). The record is from Rfam by way of RNAcentral. Lineage: Eukaryota; Metazoa; Chordata; Actinopteri; Cypriniformes; Danionidae.
GACACGGUGGCGCAGUGGGUAGUGCUGUUGCCUCACAGCAAAAGAUUGCUGGUUCGAGUCCAGGCUGGGUCA